Molecule: long non-coding RNA, 953 nt
Organism: Hordeum vulgare subsp. vulgare (domesticated barley)
Lineage: Eukaryota; Viridiplantae; Streptophyta; Magnoliopsida; Poales; Poaceae
Exons: 3
Source: RefSeq, a predicted model, not a curated record
GCAACAGAAUCCGUGUGUGCGUCCUUCAAUCCCGCUGCCACGACCUUCCGCUGCCCAUCCAUGGCGCCGUUGGGCUAGCUUCUCCCGCACCCCAGCGCUGCCUAGUCCGCCCUGCCAAUCUCCACCGCGGCGGACUGCCAUAUCCGCCCUGCCAAUCUCCACCGCGGCGGACUGCCAAAUCCGCCCGCUAGGCCGCCGUCGUGCUAGCACCUCUUGCAUCCUCGUGCAAAUCUUCAUCGCAAUGGGAUUUCUCCACGCCGCCACCUUGCCCACUCCUUUGCAAAAGGAUCAUACGAGUUGAAGGCCUCUCGUACCCCAUUGGAUCUAGGCAAGAAGAAGGUGUCAGGGGUGCCACCGUCGGCAACGCUGUACAUGCGUCCGCUUCAGUAAUUUCAGCAACGUCGCCGCUAGCUUCUCCGCCAACACAUAGCCCUAUCAGUGGUGUAUGCUUUGUGGCAUAAGCCCAAGCACUUGCAUCUACGCACAUAGAACAACACUGUUCCAUUCUUCCACAAGCAGCUAAACUGUUCUGCUCGUCCUUUCAAUUGUCAGGGUGAUGUUCUAGAGACACUCAUUAGAUUAGGGAGACAGAAGGAGAAAGGAACAGGGGAAAUGUUCCUUCAGUUCAUCGUCAAUUCUGUUUACUAGUGGGACUUAUUUUCUUGCUACGGAUCCAGACACCACUAUCCAGCCAUAUUAAGGUGCUUUUAUUCCUUGUGUUGAUCAUUUUUAAGCAGUAAUCUGCUGAUGCUUCCAGAAUAUCUAAUCUUGAAAGAACUUUGUGUCUGAAUCAAUCUUUUGUGGAACCAUAAUGUGUUCCUUAGUAUGAUAAUAUUGGUCUCUUUUAUUGAUAUAGAAGUAAGCUGUUUUUUUUGAAUGAUAUAAGUAAGGUGUUUGUAAUGUCCUUUUUAGAUUCUAGAGACCAUGAAUCUAUCUGAUGUACUGGUUAUUAA